Molecule: long non-coding RNA, 966 nt
Filed under: Marmota monax (woodchuck)
Lineage: Eukaryota; Metazoa; Chordata; Mammalia; Rodentia; Sciuridae
Source: RNAcentral
ACUCGGGUCUUCACUGAUGACCUCCUUGUCCUACACUGGUUCCAUGUAGUUGCAUGAGAUUGAUCCCAUCUCUAGGUCUGAAGGCCAUGUGAUAGACCCUGUCUAAUCAACUCCAAACAGUCCUGAGUUUAUUUGUUUGCUUUAUUUACCAAAAGAAAGAAAGAAAGAAAGAAAACAGGAAAUGAUUGUUUUUCUUCUGGAGUUCUUGAGAGGAUAGGAUGUACUACUGGUGCUCUGGCAGCCAUAUUGCUACCAUGAAGAAAGAGCCUGUGCACAAAUAAAACCCCACACAGAGUAUAUCAGCCAUACAGGAUAGGAAGUGCCAUGAUGUUCUCCUCCAUCCAGCUGGACACCCGUGACUCAGAUGAAUGACAAAUUUCCUUUUUUGCUUUUUGAAACCAGUUUGAAAUGGGGCUCUAUUACUUGGAGCCCUACACCUUAAUCUUAAAUGAUAUAAAUUAAGAAGCUGAGGAGCAUUUCCAUUACUUGCCCAAAGUCCCACAGGUAGCAGGGAAUAGCAUUUAAACCCAGGAAACCUACUCCCAGGGUCUUACGUCUGCGUUACCUCUAAGACUAGGGUAGGAAUGGAGACGAGUAGAUGAGUUGAGAGAUGUUGGGCAGUGGAACUAUGGCACCGGAAGACAGGCUGACUGUGGUAAACAAAGGGGAAUGACUUAUGUGACAGGGAGAUGAUGGAGUCACAGAGAAAGAAAAUACCAAAUGGAGAAUGUAUUCAGAGGGUGGAGAAGAAUUGGGGGUGACAAGUUGUUUCUGGAUGUUUUGAAUCUGAAGUGCCCGUGGGCCACACAAAUAGAGUUGCUAGGAUCGCUAGAGAGCAGAAAGUUCUGGGCUAAGCCAGGCAGGAUGGCUCAAGUCUGUAACCUCAGCAACUUGGGAGGCUGAGGCAGGAGGAUCACAAGUUCAAGGCCAACCUGGGCAAUUUAGCAAGACACUGUUUCAAAAUAA